GAGGAACGCUGUUGUGUUUAAUUGUAGGGAGGGAGGUAGAGGAAUGAGAGCGAUACUACCCUUCUUCAUGGGUUCUCUUCAUCGUUAGCCCACCGGGGCUGCAGAGAGAGUUUGAUGUGGUGUAGAGUAAAAGGGACUCCUGAAUGAACCGGGUCCAAGGUCCAUACUGUUGGAGAAUCACUUCAACAUGAGGCAAUAUUAGGACUGAAAUGGGGAAAAACAGUUGAGAUCAUCCACAUUCCAACUAAAUCCUGGCCCCUGGGUUUCCACCCUCCCUGGAUGGAAAGUGUAUGUGAGCAGUGUUGUUUCUGCCUGAGAAAGAGGAUGAAGUCCUCAACCAACCUGGUCUCAGUGCAUGUCGUA
This 363-nucleotide long non-coding RNA is filed under the name Salmo salar (Atlantic salmon). Its description in RNAcentral is "lncRNA (ENSSSAG00000097652.1)". The record is from RNAcentral. Lineage: Eukaryota; Metazoa; Chordata; Actinopteri; Salmoniformes; Salmonidae.